AAGAGGACAUGUCUGCUCAAAGAAUUAGAAGGCCAGCCUGACAUAAAUGCAUGUCAGGCUGGCCUUCUAAUUCUUUGAGCAGACAUGUCCUCUUUUU
This is a non-coding RNA of Pelobates cultripes (western spadefoot toad), 97 nucleotides long. The record is from the annotation of a GenBank genome assembly. Lineage: Eukaryota; Metazoa; Chordata; Amphibia; Anura; Pelobatidae.